RNAcentral lists this ribosomal RNA (782 nucleotides) under Cetraspora gilmorei. RNAcentral's name for it is "eukaryotic LSU rRNA". It matches the Rfam family "Eukaryotic large subunit ribosomal RNA", at positions 1 to 694 of the family's 3401-position model. Lineage: Eukaryota; Fungi; Glomeromycota; Glomeromycetes; Diversisporales; Gigasporaceae. The record is from RNAcentral.
ACCUCAAGUCAUGUGAGAGUACCCGCUGAACUUAAGCAUAUCAAUAAGCGGAGGAAAAGAAACUAACAAGGAUUCCCCUAGUAACGGCGAGUGAAGCGGGAAGAGCACAAAUUUUAAAUCUACCUUGGUUUUCCAGGUCGAGUUGUAAUUUGAAGAAACGUUUUUUACGUUCCGGGUUGGAUUAAAUCCUUUGGGAUAAGGUAUCAUGGAGGGUGAGAAUCCCGUGUAUACCAACCACUGGAAUGUUAUUAAUACGAUUUCUAAGAGUCGAGUUGUUUGGGAAUGCAGCUCUAAAUGGGUGGUAAAUUUCACCUAAUGCUAAAUAUAAGCGAGAGACCGAUAGUGAACAAGUACCGUGAGGGAAAGAUGAAAAGAACUUUGAAAAGAGAGUUAAAUAGUACGUGAAAUUGUUGAAAGGGAAACGGUUGAAGUCAGUCAUGCCGGCGGGAAUCAACUUAGGGGAAACUCUAGGUGCACUUCUUCGCUUGGCAGGUUAGCGUCGAUUUUGGAUGUCAUAAAAUGACUGGGGGAAGGUAGCUCUUUCGGGAGUGUUAAGCCCUUAGUAGAUGUGAUGUUCGGGAUCGAGGAUUGCAACGGAUACCCUUUGGGCUAGCCGCCUGGUCUCUAAUACGAAGUUGGGUUAUGGAUAGCAUGCUAACCAUGAUCUGAUUUUCGGUUAAAAGAUUAGAGUGAGUGUAAAUUCGUUAAGGACGCUGACGUAAUGGCUUUAAACGACCCGUCUUGAAACACGGACCAAGGAGUCUAACAUGUAUGCGAGUGUU